GCUUUGCUGUAACCCACCUGCCUGAUGUCUCCACCAAAGGCUGCAGAUCUGGAUGUAUAACUUUCAACUACUUCUCCAGCACCAUGUCUGCCUGCAUGCCAGCAUGUUGCACCAUGAGGAUAAUGGACUAAACCUCUGAAAAUGAAGGUCUGAGCCCAUACCUCACAGGGCCGUGAAGAGAAUACAGUGUAAGAACUUCCAGCAGCGAGAAGGUCAUUCUGUGGACAGUAGCUGGCCUACUGUGGCUUAGAAGGGGAAAGCCUCUGAGAUCCUCCAGAACGAUGGAAAACAGAAACACCCCAAUACACCCAGAGAACAAGGAGGAGACUCCAGCGGUCCAACCAAGUCCUGGCCUGAAUUCCACCACAAAGAAGACUGAUUUGGAGUCCACUGUGUCAGUCAGUCAGGCUGGGCUUGCAGAUGCCGAGGAAAAGGACAACGAAAAGCAGCCUGUAGCUCCCAGAGAACCAAAGAGGGAGCUCCAACACACAGGAUCAUCCCAAGAGGGGCCAGGGGAACUUGAAACCCAGGAGCAGAGGCCCUCAUCAAGACCAGGGUGAGUUGUGGGGGACUUCCCAGAAAAGGGA
Peromyscus eremicus (cactus mouse) is the source of this 587-nucleotide long non-coding RNA. RefSeq lists it as uncharacterized. The transcript is spliced from 5 exons. The record is from RefSeq and is a predicted model, not a curated record. NCBI's taxonomy places the organism in Eukaryota, Metazoa, Chordata, Mammalia, Rodentia, Cricetidae.